RNAcentral lists this small RNA (1402 nucleotides) under Pongo abelii (Sumatran orangutan). Its description in RNAcentral is "retained intron". Lineage: Eukaryota; Metazoa; Chordata; Mammalia; Primates; Hominidae. The record is from RNAcentral.
GCUCCAGGGACCUGGCGGCCGCCGAUCGGGGCUGCGAGGCCCCAUGGCGCCGCCCCCAGCCCCGCUCCUGGCUCCGAGGCCCGGGGAGACCCGGCCUGGUUGCAGGAAGCCCGGGGCUGUGAGCUUCGCGGACGUGGCCGUGUACUUCUCCCCGGAGGAGUGGGGCUGUCUGCGGCCCGCGCAGAGGGCUCUGUACCGGGACGUGAUGCGGGAGACCUACGGCCACCUGGGCGCGCUCGGUGAGAGCCCCGGGUCCGAGCCCCCUCCUCCUUCACCGGGUUCACAGGGGAGAUGAUGUAGAAGGGCCGAGAGGACUGUGAGCCCUAAUCCCGCACUCUUGCACCAACACCAGCAGCCACCUCCCGUUCCCAGGGCUUCAGGUACCCCCUCGGGAGUGUUUUCACCCGCAUCCACUUCAUUCAGGCAGCAGCACUGCAGCCCCGUCCAGGUUGAGUAUAAGCUCCGAGGGGGUGCCCUCAGCCUGGAGGGGAAUGCCAUCUUCCCACGAUGGCCUCUCAGGCCCACGCUGUGAUCCCUGUUCUCUCCCAGGAUUCCCAGGCCCCAAACCAGCCCUCAUCUCUUGGAUGGAACAGGAGAGUGAGGCUUGGAGCCCCGCCGCCCAGGAUCCUGAGAAGGGGGAAAGACUGGGAGGAGCUCGGAGAGGAGAUGUCCCAAACAGGAAGGAAGAGGAACCCGAGGAAGUCCCAAGAGCCAAAGGGCCUAGAAAGGCUCCUGUGAAGGAGAGUCCUGAAGUGCUGGUGGAACGCAACCCUGACCCAGCUAUUAGCGUGGCCCCGGCACGGGCACAGCCACCCAAAAAUGCUGCCUGGGACCCGACCACAGGAGCACAGCCCCCGGCACCCAUACCCAGCGUGGAUGCUCAGGCCGGCCAGCGGCGCCACGUGUGCACGGACUGCGGCCGCCGCUUCACCUACCCCUCGCUGCUGGUCAGCCACAGGCGCAUGCACUCGGGGGAGCGGCCCUUCCCCUGCCCCGAGUGUGGCAUGCGCUUCAAGAGGAAGUUCGCAGUGGAAGCGCACCAGUGGAUCCACCGCUCCUGCUCCGGGGGGCGGCGGGGCCGGAGGCCUGGGAUCCGGGCUGUGCCUCGGGCCCCCGUUCGAGGUGACCGGGACCCGCCUGUGCUCUUCCGGCACUACCCAGACAUCUUCGAGGAGUGCGGCUGAGCGGCACCGCAGGCUGGAGUUGAGCCUGACCUUGGCACGAAGGACUGACGGAGCCCUGACGUGGGCCACUGAGUCGGGGACUCCGGAACUGAAAUUCAUGCCCUGGGCUUUCCUCAAGGAUCCCUCAAGUUUCCAACUUGUAAAAAGAAAAGUGCCUGUAAAGAUUCGAAUAGAUUAGACUUGCCACCCCUCUCCCCAGUCUUUUGUUAAAAAAAAAA